GCGCAUAUGUCGUAAUUGGUAGCCGAGCCAGACUUAGGAUCUGGUGCCGAGAGGCGUUAGGGUUCGAGUCCCUAUAUGCGCA
Molecule: transfer RNA, 82 nt
Filed under: Muribaculaceae bacterium
Lineage: Bacteria; Pseudomonadati; Bacteroidota; Bacteroidia; Bacteroidales; Muribaculaceae
Description: tRNA-Leu
Rfam family: tRNA
About the family: Transfer RNA (tRNA) molecules are approximately 80 nucleotides in length. Their secondary structure includes four short double-helical elements and three loops (D, anti-codon, and T loops). Further hydrogen bonds mediate the characteristic L-shaped molecular structure. tRNAs have two regions of fundamental functional importance: the anti-codon, which is responsible for specific mRNA codon recognition, and the 3' end, to which the tRNAs corresponding amino acid is attached (by aminoacyl-tRNA synthetases). tRNAs cope with the degeneracy of the genetic code in two manners: having more than one tRNA (with a specific anti-codon) for a particular amino acid; and 'wobble' base-pairing, i.e. permitting non-standard base-pairing at the 3rd anti-codon position.
Source: RNAcentral